AUACUUACCUAGCAAGGGAGAUACCAUGGUCACAAAGGCGGUCUUCCCAGAGCGAGGUUUAUCCAUUGCACUCCAGAUGUGCUGACCCUCGCAAUUUCCCCAAGUGUGGGAAACUCGACUGCAUCGUUUGUGGUAGUGGGGGACUGUGUUCAUGCUCUCCUCUG
RNAcentral lists this small nuclear RNA (164 nucleotides) under Myotis davidii. RNAcentral's name for it is "U1 spliceosomal RNA". It matches the Rfam family "U1 spliceosomal RNA". From Rfam's summary of the family: U1 is a small nuclear RNA (snRNA) component of the spliceosome (involved in pre-mRNA splicing). Its 5' end forms complementary base pairs with the 5' splice junction, thus defining the 5' donor site of an intron. There are significant differences in sequence and secondary structure between metazoan and yeast U1 snRNAs, the latter being much longer (568 nucleotides as compared to 164 nucleotides in human). Lineage: Eukaryota; Metazoa; Chordata; Mammalia; Chiroptera; Vespertilionidae. The record is from Rfam by way of RNAcentral.